UGCAGGCUGCAACUCGCCUGCAUGAAGCUGGAAUUGCUAGUAAUCGCGAAUCAGAAUGUCGCGGUGAAUACGUUCCCGGGUCUUGUACACACCGCCCGUCACACCAUGGGAGUCGGAUAUGCCCGAAGUCAGUGACCCAACCAUAUGGAGGGAGCUGCCGAAGGUGGAGCCGAUAACUGGGGUGAAGUCGUAACAAGGUAAC
RNAcentral lists this ribosomal RNA (202 nucleotides) under uncultured bacterium. Its description in RNAcentral is "partial 16S ribosomal RNA". It matches the Rfam family "Bacterial small subunit ribosomal RNA", at positions 1299 to 1500 of the family's 1533-position model. The record is from RNAcentral.